UAAAGCUGACCCACUUGUAAACUCCGGU
This 28-nucleotide small RNA is filed under the name Bombyx mori (domestic silkworm). Its description in RNAcentral is "ovarian small RNA-18343". The record is from RNAcentral. Lineage: Eukaryota; Metazoa; Arthropoda; Insecta; Lepidoptera; Bombycidae.